GCCACCUUAGCUCAGUUGGUAGAGCAAUACUUUCGUAAAGUAGAGGUCCCCGGUUCGACCCCGGGAGGUGGCUCCA
This 76-nucleotide transfer RNA is filed under the name Candidatus Parcubacteria bacterium. Its description in RNAcentral is "tRNA-Thr". It matches the Rfam family "tRNA". Rfam says of the family: Transfer RNA (tRNA) molecules are approximately 80 nucleotides in length. Their secondary structure includes four short double-helical elements and three loops (D, anti-codon, and T loops). Lineage: Bacteria; Candidatus Parcubacteria. The record is from RNAcentral.